This 1411-nucleotide ribosomal RNA is filed under the name uncultured organism. RNAcentral describes it as "SSU rRNA". It matches the Rfam family "Bacterial small subunit ribosomal RNA". The record is from RNAcentral.
AGNCGAGGGGCAUCAGGAACAUUUCUUGCUUUCUUUGCUGGCGACCGGCGCACGGGUGAGUAACACGUAUCCAACCUGCCCUUUACUCGGGGAUAGCCUUUCGAAAGAAAGAUUAAUACCCGAUGGCAUAAUGAUUCCGCAUGGUUUCAUUAUUAAAGGAUUCCGGUAAAGGAUGGGGAUGCGUUCCAUUAGGUUGUUGGUGAGGUAACGGCUCACCAAGCCUUCGAUGGAUAGGGGUUCUGAGAGGAAGGUCCCCCACAUUGGAACUGAGACACGGUCCAAACUCCUACGGGAGGCAGCAGUGAGGAAUAUUGGUCAAUGGGCGCUAGCCUGAACCAGCCAAGUAGCGUGAAGGAUGAAGGCUCUAUGGGUCGUAAACUUCUUUUAUAUAAGAAUAAAGUGCAGUAUGUAUACUGUUUUGUAUGUAUUAUAUGAAUAAGGAUCGGCUAACUCCGCGCCAGCAGCCGCGGUAAUACGGAGGAUCCGAGCGUUAUCCGGAUUUAUUGGGUUUAAAGGGAGCGUAGGUGGACUGGUAAGUCAGUUGUGAAAGUUUGCGGCUCAACCGUAAAAUUGCAGUUGAUACUGUCAGUCUUGAGUACAGUAGAGGUGGGCGGAAUUCGUGGUGUAGCGGUGAAAUGCUUAGAUAUCACGAAGAACUCCGAUUGCGAAGGCAGCUCACUGGACUGCAACUGACACUGAUGCUCGAAAGUGUGGGUAUCAAACAGGAUUAGAUACCCUGGUAGUCCACACAGUAAACGAUGAAUACUCGCUGUUUGCGAUAUACAGUAAGCGGCCAAGCGAAAGCAUUAAGUAUUCCACCUGGGGAGUACGCCGGCAACGGUGAAACUCAAAGGAAUUGACGGGGGCCCGCACAAGCGGAGGAACAUGUGGUUUAAUUCGAUGAUACGCGAGGAACCUUACCCGGGCUUAAAUUGCAGUGGAAUGAUGUGGAAACAUGUCAGUGAGCAAUCACCGUUGUGAAGGUGCUGCAUGGUUGUCGUCAGCUCGUGCCGUGAGGUGUCGGCUUAAGUGCCAUAACGAGCGCAACCCUUAUCUUUAGUUACUAACAGGUUAUGCUGAGGACUCUAGAGAGACUGCCGUCGUAAGAUGUGAGGAAGGUGGGGAUGACGUCAAAUCAGCACGGCCCUUACGUCCGGGGCUACACACGUGUUACAAUGGGGGGUACAGAAGGCAGCUAGCGGGUGACCGUAUGCUAAUCCCAAAAGCCUCUCUCAGUUCGGAUCGAAGUCUGCAACCCGACUUCGUGAAGCUGGAUUCGCUAGUAAUCGCGCAUCAGCCACGGCGCGGUGAAUACGUUCCCGGGCCUUGUACACACCGCCCGUCAAGCCAUGGGAGCCGGGGGUACCUGAAGUACGUAAACGCAAGGAUCGUCCUAGGGUAAAACUGGUGA